UGAGGAAUAUUGGUCAAUGGGCGAGAGCCUGAACCAGCCAAGUCGCGUGAAGGAAGAAGGAUCUAUGGUUCGUAAACUUCUUUUGCAGGGGAAUAAAGUGCAGGACGUGUCCUGUUUUGUAUGUACCCUGAGAAUAAGGAUCGGCUAACUCCGUGCCAGCAGCCGCGGUAAUACGGAGGAUCCGAGCGUUAUCCGGAUUUAUUGGGUGUAAAGGGUGCUCAGGCGGAUUUGUAAGUCAGAGGUGAAAUCUUACAGCUUAACUGUGAAACUGCCUUUGAUACUGCAAGCCUAGAGUAUGGAAGAGAGUGAUGGAAUAUCUGGUGUAGCAGUGAAAUGCGUAGAUAUCAGAUAGAACACCUAUGUCGAAGGCAGUCACUUGGUCCAUUACUGACGCUAAAGCACGAAAGCGUGGGUAGCAAACA
RNAcentral lists this ribosomal RNA (422 nucleotides) under uncultured bacterium. RNAcentral's name for it is "bacterial SSU rRNA". It matches the Rfam family "Bacterial small subunit ribosomal RNA", at positions 355 to 774 of the family's 1533-position model. The record is from RNAcentral.